This 397-nucleotide ribosomal RNA is filed under the name uncultured bacterium. RNAcentral describes it as "partial 16S ribosomal RNA". It matches the Rfam family "Bacterial small subunit ribosomal RNA", at positions 523 to 918 of the family's 1533-position model. The record is from RNAcentral.
AUACGUAGGGGGCGAGCGUUGUCCGGAAUGAUUGGGCGUAAAGGGCGCGUAGGCGGCCCGGUAAGUCUGGAGUGAAAGUCCUGUUUUUAAGAUGGGAAUUGCUUUGGAUACUGUCGGGCUUGAGUGCAGGAGAGGGAAGUGGAAUUCCCAGUGUAGCGGUGAAAUGCGUAGAGAUUGGGAGGAACACCAGUGGCGAAGGCGACUUACUGGACUGUAACUGACGCUGAGGCGCGAAAGUGUGGGGAGCAAACAGGAUUAGAUACCCUGGUAGUCCACACUGUAAACGAUGAAUGCUAGGUGUAGGGGGUAUCGACCCCUUCUGUGCCGCAGUCAACACAAUAAGCAUUCCGCCUGGGGAGUACGGCCGCAAGGUUGAAACUCAAAGGAAUUGACGGGG